GCGGCGGACGGGUGAGUAACACGUGGGCAACCUGCCUGUAAGACUGGGAUAACCCCGGGAAACCGGGGCUAAUACCGGAUAAUACUUUCUUUUGCAUAAAGGAAAGUUGAAAGGCGGCUUCGGCUGUCACUUACAGAUGGGCCCGCGGCGCAUUAGCUAGUUGGUGAGGUAACGGCUCACCAAGGCGACGAUGCGUAGCCGACCUGAGAGGGUGAUCGGCCACACUGGGACUGAGACACGGCCCAGACUCCUACGGGAGGCAGCAGUAGGGAAUCUUCCGCAAUGGACGAAAGUCUGACGGAGCAACGCCGCGUGAGUGAUGAAGGUUUUCGGAUCGUAAAACUCUGUUGUUAGGGAAGAACAAGUACGAUAGUAACUGAUCGUACCUUGACGGUACCUAACCAGAAAGCCACGGCUAACUACGUGCCAGCAGCCGCGGUAAUACGUAGGUGGCAAGCGUUGUCCGGAAUUAUUGGGCGUAAAGCGCUCGCAGGCGGUCCUUUAAGUCUGAUGUGAAAUCUCGCGGCUCAACCGCGAACGGUCAUUGGAAACUGGAGGACUUGAGUACAGAAGA
This 574-nucleotide ribosomal RNA is filed under the name Oceanobacillus sp. AC 118. RNAcentral's name for it is "bacterial SSU rRNA". It matches the Rfam family "Bacterial small subunit ribosomal RNA", at positions 95 to 655 of the family's 1533-position model. The record is from RNAcentral. Lineage: Bacteria; Bacillati; Bacillota; Bacilli; Caryophanales; Bacillaceae.